This 587-nucleotide ribosomal RNA is filed under the name uncultured Hydrogenophaga sp. Its description in RNAcentral is "bacterial SSU rRNA". It matches the Rfam family "Bacterial small subunit ribosomal RNA", at positions 338 to 918 of the family's 1533-position model. Lineage: Bacteria; Pseudomonadati; Pseudomonadota; Betaproteobacteria; Burkholderiales; Comamonadaceae. The record is from RNAcentral.
CCUACGGGAGGCAGCAGUGGGGAAUUUUGGACAAUGGGCGCAAGCNUGAUCCAGCAAUGCCGCGUGCAGGAAGAAGGCCUUCGGGUUGUAAACUGCUUUUGUACGGAACGAAACGGCUCUGGUUAAUACCCGGGGCUAAUGACGGUACCGUAAGAAUAAGCACCGGCUAACUACGUGCCAGCAGCCGCGGUAAUACGUAGGGUGCAAGCGUUAAUCGGAAUUACUGGGCGUAAAGCGUGCGCAGGCGGUUUUGUAAGACAGGCGUGAAAUCCCCGGGCUCAACCUGGGAAUGGCGCUUGUGACUGCAAAGCUGGAGUGCGGCAGAGGGGGAUGGAAUUCCGCGUGUAGCAGUGAAAUGCGUAGAUAUGCGGAGGAACACCGAUGGCGAAGGCAAUCCCCUGGGCCUGCACUGACGCUCAUGCACGAAAGCGUGGGGAGCAAACAGGAUUAGAUACCCUGGUAGUCCACGCCCUAAACGAUGUCAACUGGUUGUUGGGUCUCUUCUGACUCAGUAACGAAGCUAACGCGUGAAGUUGACCGCCUGGGGAGUACGGCCGCAAGGUUGAAACUCAAAUGAAUUGACGGGG